Molecule: non-coding RNA, 1285 nt
Organism: Cinara cedri
Lineage: Eukaryota; Metazoa; Arthropoda; Insecta; Hemiptera; Aphididae
Source: the annotation of a GenBank genome assembly
CAUUUUUGAAAGAGAAACAAACCAACAGGCACACGAAUUAAAAUCUGAAGCAGUGAAGCUUAAAACACGAAACUCAGCCGUGAGAACGUGAAAUCGAGUUAUUCCAAACAUGAAAAAGAUUUAAGACAAUAAAAUAGGCAUGCAAUCUGAAAGAUAAUUGAUGACUGCGUUAUAAGCGAUAGCUGAUAACGGAUGAAAAAUCUAAAUACGCCUACCAGUCACAUUUAUUAACUAUUAUGUUAGUUACACAUGAUCGCUGCGCGUUUUUUUAGACAAUCAGAAAAAGAAAAUUGAAAAAUUAAACUUACGUAGGUAGCACGCCGAGCUAGUCUUAAACGGUUAAUCGCGGACGGUCACAUAAUCGAAAACCACGAAACGUGGGCGGCGGCGUUUUUUUAACAUGUACGUGUGUAUAGGUAGUGAUCGUUUUUACGCCUUUUUAUCUUAUCUAAAUACAUUCGCGUAUCGAUAACCGUUAAUAAUAUGUAAGUAGAUAACCAAUAAAAUGGCGAAAAAUGGUCGACAAAAAUAAAAACGAAAUCAUAUUAUGCGCGCACCGACGACGCCGAAAAUCGACUCGCGUCGAAUUGCGUUUUUUUUUUUCUUCAUCUCGCGGUACCCCUUUCAAUGGACCCGUGAAACUAAAUUCAAAAGGCUGAAUGGCGAUACGGGUGUUAACGGCCAUAAUGCGAAAUUACAUUGUUCUUAACCUGAGUUUGUUUGGAAUAACGUUUUGUUCCGAUUCGUAUAAUUUGCUCUAAAACGCGCUUUACAGAGAAAACUUUCAUGUCUCAUAGAGCAGGCGUAUUACGAUUAUUUUCACUUAAUUUUUUUUUCUGUAUUUUGGCAGCAAGAAAAAAAUAAUUCGGAUUUUGAAAAUUAUAUAAUUAUAUAAACGUAUAGAUAUUGAUUAUGACGUGUGACCCGAUUACACCGUUCUUAUGAUUUCUUGUGAUUUUCGAAUAAUUCCAAAGUUAUGAAUAAAAGUGACAUUUUAAAUUUAUAAUCGGUUAAUGCUCAGCUUUGGGACUUGGAGUCGUAUCACAAGAAAAAAAAAAAAAAAAAAAACUUAAAAUUAUCGAACAGAACAAAACUCGUUCGAGACGUUCGAUCUCUUUACGUGUUACGCCUAUGCGUGUCUCUCUGUGUGCGUAUUACCACUUCAUCCGUUUUUUUUUUUAUCCUCAAAAUAUGCGCCCGUAACGGAUUGCGUACCCGUGCGCUUUUGAACCGUCGGGGCUAGCCGCCACUGUGUUUACUGGGUACCCGUCUGCAAGUAAUUUAU